GAUGAACGCUAGCUACAGGCUUAACACAUGCAAGUCGAGGGACCGGCGCACGGGUGAGUAACACGUAUCCAACCUGCCCUUUACUCGGGGAUAGCCUUUCGAAAGAAAGAUUAAUACCCGAUAUAAAGGAUGGGGAUGCGUUCGAUUUGGUUGUGGUUGAGGUAACGGCCCACCAAGCCUCCGAUGGAUAGGGGUUCUGAGAGGAAGGUCCCCGAGAUUGGAACAGGGACACGGUCCAAACUCCUACGGGAGGCAGCAGUGAGGAAUAUUGGUCAAUGGGCGUUAGCCUGAAACAGCCAGGUAGCGUGAAGGAUGAAGGGUUAUGGGUCGUAAACUUCUUUUAUAUAAGAAUAUGUAUUAUAUGAAUAAGGAACGGCUAACUCCGUGCCAGCAGCCGCGGUAAUUC
RNAcentral lists this ribosomal RNA (406 nucleotides) under uncultured bacterium. RNAcentral describes it as "partial 16S ribosomal RNA". It matches the Rfam family "Bacterial small subunit ribosomal RNA", at positions 28 to 526 of the family's 1533-position model. The record is from RNAcentral.